Molecule: long non-coding RNA, 739 nt
Filed under: Mytilus galloprovincialis (Mediterranean mussel)
Lineage: Eukaryota; Metazoa; Mollusca; Bivalvia; Mytilida; Mytilidae
Source: RNAcentral
CAAAUUUAAAAGUUAUCAUACAUAUUUUUAAAUUACUGAAAAGUAUCUCAGGUAGAAGGAAUUCAGAAAAACAAAAUAGUUUUGGACAUUGAACAAGUUAUCAUGGCAACAAAUCAUGCCUUAAUUUGCAUAUUUUGUAAAAUUUCGUGAUUUUCCUUGUUUUUCAUCAAAUUUGUAAGUAUAUUUUCGAUUGGAAAAGUAUGUGCGCACCCAAGAAACAACUUUAUAUUUGGUGAGAUUUUGACAAUAGUAAUAAUAAAGCUUCAGUUAAAUUAUUUUGUUGUUUCUUGGCUGCACACGAUGUUUCCACAACAGAAAUAAAGAUGGAAAACUGCAUAAAUUCUGAAUUUUUCAUCGUUUUUGUGAAAACAGUACAUAUAAUGACGUAAUUGUGACGUCAUCACAUAAGAAUCUUAAUGUUUUUCAUUUAUAUUUCUUGACCCUAUGCAAUUCUAAAGAUUAUGUGCCAAUUUGAAAAAGUUAUCAAACAUUUUAUUUUCUUGGGCCAAAACCAGGCCUUAAUGCCCCUACUCCUUUUGUAACAAAGCUGAUAUUAUAGUGUGGAUAUGAACAUGAUGGAUAGAAAACCUCGAAGUACUUAAGGUUCUGAAUCAAUUUAAAAACUAAAAGUGCCAGAGAUUUAACAACAAAAACCUAUCUUCUCAGUAUGCAUACUUAUUCUAUAUAUAGUCUAAAUUCAUACCCUAUAUAUAAAUAUAUUUUCAGAUGGACUUAAAGU